GCUCUGAUUAUAGCUCGGUUGGUUUGAGCGUGGUGCUGAUAAUGCCAAGGUUGCAGGUUCGAAUCCCCGGGACA
Podarcis lilfordi (Lilford's wall lizard) is the source of this 74-nucleotide non-coding RNA. The record is from the annotation of a GenBank genome assembly. NCBI's taxonomy places the organism in Eukaryota, Metazoa, Chordata, Lepidosauria, Squamata, Lacertidae.